AGCAGUCGCCACGGUAACACGGAGGAUCCAAGCGUUAUCCGGAAUCAUUGGGUUUAAAGGGUCCGUAGGCGGUCUUGUAAGUCAGUGGUGAAAGCCCAUCGCUCAACGGUGGAACGGCCAUUGAUACUGCAGGACUUGAAUUAUUGGGAAGUAACUAGAAUAUGUAGUGUAGCGGUGAAAUGCUUAGAGAUUACAUGGAAUACCAAUUGCGAAGGCAGGUUACUACCAAUUGAUUGACGCUGAUGGACGAAAGCGUGGGUAGCGAACAGGAUUAGAUACCCCGGUAGUCCCUGUCUCUUAUAC
Molecule: ribosomal RNA, 303 nt
Filed under: uncultured bacterium
Lineage: Bacteria
Description: partial 16S ribosomal RNA
Rfam family: Bacterial small subunit ribosomal RNA
Source: RNAcentral